Long non-coding RNA from Esox lucius (northern pike), 432 nucleotides. The record is from Ensembl. NCBI's taxonomy places the organism in Eukaryota, Metazoa, Chordata, Actinopteri, Esociformes, Esocidae.
GGGAUGAUGGCAUGGCAUCAAAAAAUGUGCCGGAUGAGUUGACUGAAGUGGUGGAUGUUGAAGUCCAGCAACGAGAGGGCCAGGAACCACCUGUGGUUACUGUGAUGGAGGAUGUAGACACUGAAUCCUUUGAUUCAGAUGCUGCAUCAAGUUACACCAACAAUGAAAACAUGAAAAUGAAGAUGCUCAAAAUGAAAAUAAAGGCAUUGGAGGAAGAGAGGGACUUCCUCCGAACAACUAUUACCCAGACAAAGAACUUCUUCAGGACCAAGUCCUAGCUCAUCUGUGGGUGACAACAUUGCCAAGCUUGAGGAUCAGUGGGAUGACAGCUCUGAUUCUUCGAGCUCUGAUAGCUCUUCAUCCACAGACAGCGAAAUAGAAAAGAAAAAGAAAAACAAGCAGAAGAAGAAAAAGAACAAAAACAAGAAGGGA